RNAcentral lists this small RNA (154 nucleotides) under pig gut metagenome. Its description in RNAcentral is "HNH endonuclease-associated RNA and ORF (HEARO) RNA". It matches the Rfam family "HNH endonuclease-associated RNA and ORF (HEARO) RNA", at positions 1 to 127 of the family's 211-position model. The record is from RNAcentral.
GUCAAUUACCCACGACUGAAGUCGCGGGCUUGUAUGAAGAAUAAUGCUGCGCAUUAAACUCUAUCAGCCCUAGUUGACUAGCCUAAGUGCCAAGAGCACUACGUUAUGCAGGAAAUAGGUACCACGGGAUGUUAUAGCCUAGUCCCGUGCUCUA